AUGCACAUUUCAUUGACUUUUUUAUGUCAGGAGAAAAGAUAUUUCUGAUGUGCUAAAUUACACGUGGAGGUAAAUUAGCAGCAUGACUAAUUAGUCAUUGCUGUCAGUCACCUUCAGACAACA
Cervus hanglu yarkandensis (Yarkand deer) is the source of this 123-nucleotide small nucleolar RNA. The record is from Ensembl. Lineage: Eukaryota; Metazoa; Chordata; Mammalia; Artiodactyla; Cervidae.